ACGAACGCUGGCGGCAUGCUUAACACAUGCAAGUCGAACGCGAUCUGGGGUUUUGGCCUUGGGUUGAGUGGCGGACGGGUGAGUAACGCGUGGGAACCUGCCCUGUGGUUGGGGAUAACUGCGGGAAACUGCGGCUAAUACCUGAUGAGCCCUGGCUUUGGUUGGGGGAAAGAUUGAUCGCCAUGGGAGGGGCCCGCGUCGGAUUAGGUAGUUGGUGGGGUAACGGCCUACCAAGCCUGCGAUCCGUAGCUGGUCUGAGAGGAUGAUCAGCCACACUGGGACUGAGAUACGGCCCAGACUCCUACGGGAGGCAGCAGUGGGGAAUAUUGGACAAUGGGGGCAACCCUGAUCCAGCAAUGCCGCGUGAGUGAAGAAGGCCUUAGGGUUGUAAAGCUCUUUCGGCGGGGACGAUGGUGACGGUACCCGCAGAAGAAGCCCCGGCUAACUCCGU
RNAcentral lists this ribosomal RNA (451 nucleotides) under uncultured bacterium. RNAcentral's name for it is "bacterial SSU rRNA". It matches the Rfam family "Bacterial small subunit ribosomal RNA", at positions 29 to 506 of the family's 1533-position model. The record is from RNAcentral.